Felis catus (domestic cat) is the source of this 5440-nucleotide long non-coding RNA. RefSeq lists it as uncharacterized. The record is from RefSeq and is a predicted model, not a curated record. The transcript is spliced from 2 exons. Lineage: Eukaryota; Metazoa; Chordata; Mammalia; Carnivora; Felidae.
AGAGCGGUGGUGGCCGUGGCGGAGCAAAGGACGAGCAGAACCAAAUCGUGAGAACAGGAAGGAAGGGUGAGGGAGCCCCUUAGUCCAUCUCCUUACACCCAUGUGGGGCCAUUCCAGAGAAGAUGACAUCCGAGGUGGCUUCCCAGUCUCCCCCAUCGUUCCUCCUUUGAACGUUUGACAGGCCGCAGGGGGCACCUUCCCCUUCCGCCGUCUUGGACCUGACCUCGCCUGCACAGUUUCAUGCCCAUUCUCGUUCCGCUUUCAGCAGAGGUGACAGUUGCGAGGGCCUCCGUCCGUUUCCCUCUUUUCUCUGUUCGGUUCCCUGAACUAGGCCCGUGGAACUUGAUGUAAAAGUAUUUUACCUUGAUCUGGCUCCUUGAGAGACCUGUAAAUGUGCUCGCUCACCCUCCCUCCCUCCCUCCCUCCCUGAAUCCCUGGUUGUCUAGUAAGAGGCUAACAAGAACCAAGUGGUGUAGAUGUAUCCAGUUUUAGAGAAUACAUGUUUUCCUGAAGGCUGUCUUGAUUUUUUUUAACUUGAAUUUUAAGUGCACCAAGGGGUUCGCUGUUUAUAAAUGGCAUUUUUAAUCAUAUGGCAGUUCUUCAUUUCUGUAAACAUAAGGCUCUUUAAUGGAUUACUUUGGAUACACCAUGUGUCCACUGUUUUCUUAAAGUGGGGCACACCUGUAGUACAGACUUGCCUAUUUACAGGACGCAUAUGAAAAGGAAGAGUUGAAUGUGGACCAUGAAUAGAAUGUUAAAUUCCUAAAACUAUAGCCACAUGAGACAACAGAGCUAUACGAAGCCAAAAAUCCUUUUUCCUUUUCCACGCCUGUCUAUAUGGCAUGCAAAAACAAACAAGAAAAGCCAGGGCGCAGCUAGUUCCGGCUGUGACGCUUCUUUAACGCACACCCUCGACACAUCUGCUGGCCUUGCUCUUUCCUGCUAUGACAGCAGGGUCCCCUUGCUGGGAGCACAAGCCAUAUUCUUCCCCAGUGGAGGUGUUCGGAGAAUGUCAAUGCCUCUGGACAAAGCUAGGCUAGCCUCGAACUGCUGAGGACAGGACAGGGUGCCGGCUGGUGCUGCCUCCACACCCUGUACCUGCGUCUGUGAGCCUAGAGACCAUGAGGCCUCCUGGGCUUCCAGGCUGCAGCGUGGGUCACGUGGGAGCCAGGUGGGCGGUGCUGUGGGAGGGGCAAAGUAUGCACAGGCCACGUUAGCCAUCCCAAUUAGGUGCUGGUAAGAAUACUUGGCUGGGAAGCUAUUUUUGUGAAACUUUCAUGAAGUCCAUCAGUUCUGCUGUUAUUCCAUAGGCAUUGGUAUUAUUAUCAGCUUAUUCCUUUAUCUCAUAGUUUUCUUCUCUAGGAAUUGAAAAUCUGUACCUUCUGUGUUUCCACUUGUUCAGUCUUUAGCAUCUUAAACAUAUGGAGGACAGUUACAAUAAUAUCCUAUUAAUUUUAUCACCUAUGGCACAUUUGUCAGUUUCUGAUUCUUUUUCCCCCUUCCUCAUUAUUGGUUAGGUUUCCCAGCUUCUUGGCUUGCCUGGUAAUUUUUGGUUGGAUGCCAGACACUGUGAGUUUUACAUUGUUGGGUGCUGGAUAUUUUGUAUUACUAUAAAUAUCCUGAAGCUCUGUUCUAGGAUGCAGUUCAUUUCUUGCAAAUAGUUUCUUUUGGCCUUGUUUUUAAGCUUUAUUAGGCACAACUGGAGUGGUGUUUAGUCUAGAGUUGGUUUUCCCCAACUACUGAGGCAAAAUCCAUCUAGCCCUUCUCCACAUAACCUUUUGAUUCCUGGGGUUUUCUAGCUCUGGCCUGCCCUCUGUGAGCUCCGGGAAUGAAUGGUUCAGUUCUCCGUGGAUGGUUAGAGGUAGUCUCUGUAAUGGGUGCUGCCCCCAUGUGCACGGGCUGAUCGAUACUCAGCUAGAGACUCGGGCCUUUGCAGACAGGUUUAUGUCUGGUGUCUUCCCGAAGGCAUCUCACCUACAGGGUCCCUCUCUUCCCUACAGUGCAGUUUGCUCACAGGGUGCCCUUCCCUCUGGCUUACCUUGUGUCGUCUCCCCAAACGCUGUUUGGAUGUUCUACCUAACACAGCUGAGAAAGGUCUACUCCCAGCCAUCUCUGAUUGGUCUUUUACUCUGUACGAUUCCAGCGCCAGUGUGGGGGGUUACCAGGUUUGUAUCCUUUACAACUGGUUUCUUGCUGGCGCUAAGCAGGUGUUUCUUUUAGAGAAAUAUUUUCAUUCCUCAGGACAAAAAGUUGUGACUUGUGGAGUGCAGGAACUUUAUUUCGCUACCAGGUUUCCUCAACAUCCUCACUUUUCUGUCUUAAAGGUCAGAUCUGCUUUGUAUGGCUGAUAAGAUCUGCAACUUGGAACACCUAGCAGUCAUCUCUUACAAGUGCCUCCUAAAACAGGGAGAGGGGGGCUUUUCAAAAUGUUUUCUAUGCAGAAUCACGUCAUGCUCCUUAAAUAGAGACAGUCAAGGCCAAACCUUAGGGAUGAGUCAAAGACUUGAAUGGAGGCCUUGAGCGUAUUCUUACCACACUGCAUCGGUCCCAUGAGGGAGAAGAAACAUACUGGGCUUUAGCCAUAACAUAACUCAAUCAAACCCUUUGCUGGAGAUAUUUCUUCAACCCGCAGCUGAGUUACAAUGUCUGUCGCCAUCCUGUUUACUAGGAAGUCAGAGGAGGGUGGGAGACUGGACAAGAAAGCAGGCAGUAGUAGAAACUAAAAUUGCUCUGGGUCGGCUUGCCCUUGCUUGUGGCCCAGCUGACUUCUCAAGGAUUGGCUGUUUGGUUCCUGUACCUUUACCCAAGGAGGUGGAUCUCCUCGCGCUGAGCUGGGUCAGGGAGCUGCUUGUAGAUUGUCCCAGGGCUGUACUGGUGCCUUGAGGUCUGUUACGUAUGCCAGCCUCUACCUUUUUAAAAAUAAUAUAUCCAAGCUCCUUAUAAUAAGCCACAGCCUGGAAGAUAUCAGACGUGUCAAAUGCUUCUGUUUAAAGGGCAUAUUUUAUUGAAGGCAGUUGUGUCCCUUUAAGGCCACCUGUCUGCUUUUGGAUAAAAUGGACCAAAAAAGCCAACUCAAUACCCAAGCAUUGGCGUUAGUGGUAUUUACAGAAAGCUUCAAGCACAAAUAGCAGCUAAGACUGAGACACAGGAUUGUAAGCAGUGCUCUUUUCCCAAUGUGACGAGCCCCUUGUUGCUGAGGGCGAGUGCCAGCUGGGCCGGCUGGGUCCUAGUUGGGCUACUCCUGUUUAAAAGGUAAUAAUUUAACAUUCUUUACACCUGGGAAUGUAACCUACUGGGAUAAGAUACUGUUUGGGUGUAAAAGGCACACGUAAGAACUAUCUAAGUAGCCCCUCGCCUCUCCGAAUGUGUCUAUCAAAUACCAAAUGUGGAUGUUUGUACAGCCAUUAGGCCUGGGUUUUCAUGGCCUCUAAGCUAAUACUGUUUUGGGGGCUGGCAUAUGGAGGUCCACUGAUCACUGUACUUGCAGAUUGGGAAACAAAGGUGAGCAGAGGAAUAGAAUGACGUGGGUCUACAGGUCCUGACCUAGAAAAAUAAGACGUGGUGAGUGAAGUGUCAUAUGUAAAAUACAUACUACUACGUAAAAUAGAAAUCGAAGGUUGUUGCGAAUCAGUGAGUAGAGUCUGGCCCCAAAACUGUGAGCCUACGUGUGGCUGACUGUCCAAACCAAGGAAAAUGUCAGGAACAGCACAAGCCAAAUUAUUAACAGUGGUUAGUUACUUCAGUAGGAGACUGGGGGCAGAAAGGGUAGAUUAGCCUGGGAAGGUCUAGCUUUGUACGAUUUUCUAUAGUUGAGAUUUUUAACUUUUUCCGUGUUUUUUAUAAAACUCAAAAACUCCAACAUUUUGGAUAAGUAGGUGACACAAAACACCAAGUGAUCUAGGGAAUCCAAGUCGCUCAUUGUCCCAAACCCAUUUGUUAAGCAUGUGACUUUUGGGCAUAUCAUUCAUCUCUCUGAAGGUUGAAUGUUCCCAUAAGGCAGGGAGAAUGCCUGCUUUAUCUCCUAUGAUUAUCAUAAAAACGUAAACGUUGCAACAAGAUCACGGGUGAAAAUACAAAACUCGAGAGUAAUACAGGAGUGUCGGGCUCUAGCAGUCUUCUGUAAGCUAGAACAAGAAGUCGAUUAUAUCUAACUUCCCUCUUCGUACUAGGGCUCCCAGUUUUCACUAAGAAGGUGUGUUUUCUCCAACAUAGGUUUUGGUAGUACCCACGACUGGCCCGGCCCCAGUUCAAAUGCCUCAGCUGGGACAAGUGUAAGAUGAUCUGGCCGUGGAGCCUCAGUUCCUAAACUGGUGGUUCAUUUCUCCUAACGUAGCCGAUAUCGGUUUUCUUCCUACACUUUCCCCACUUCAGAGGGCAGAAACAUCCCCGUGAUGGAUGGAGUUGAUCUUUCCCCUUUCAUGCCGGGAUAUACAAUCAGAUGUCAGUGGGUUUUUCAUUACAAGUAGUUUCUGACCAAAAAACAUCCAGGUGGCUGCCUAACAGGGUAUCUCAGGAUAUCCACUCACUUCAACCAUGGCUAUCACAUGGCCCACGAACCUGGACUUUAACUAUAGACAACCUGGGGGGACAGUAUCUCCUGAAGAGCGGACCAGUAAACCACUUUAAACAGACACACCAAUUCCACAGUUCAUGCUUUUACCCUAGGCAUAGAUGUGGGGUGCAAGAUUAUGAACUACGUUAACGUGUUUCUCCCAUCUUUGCUGAGGUAAUAAGCUACAGCCUAACUACCAUGCCAGUUAGGAUAGACCCGUCCCAUCGUCCCCAACAGCUUAGCCCUCUACCCUUUGCAGUCCUUUCCCCUGUGCAAGCUCGAGCCAGCCAGUGUACCACUGACUCUUUUAGAAUUUCAUUUACGUGCAAUCACGUGUAGUCUUGGGUCUUUGUUUUUUUUCCCCUGAGCAUGCUUAGGGACUCAUUCAUGUUCUUCUUCAGUAGCUCAUCCCCUUUUAUUGCCGAGAACUACUCCAUGAUACGGAUGUACUAUAAGUUAGCUAUUCAGCUGCUGAUGAACAUUUGGGCUGAAGCUACUAUAACACUGUUCCCUCUGCUUCCACCAGCAGGACACGGAGGCCCCACGGCAUGGGUCUCACCAAUGCUCGAAGAUCAAAAGAAAGAAAAAGCCCUGACACAACUUUACAGUGCUAAUCCCAACACACCUGCAGACAUCAUUAACUCUUAAAGCAAAGGCCACCGGACGUGAGCAGAGAGGGUGCCUACUUAACCCCACAGCACGGGACCGAGGAGGAAACCUGCACUCACGGCAACAGCCUACGGAGACUGGGCAGGGCAGGGCAAAAGCCCUACUGCAGGUAAGGACUGGAUCCUGUAGACUUUAUUCUUAAAAAGGAAUCAGCCGAGCCCAGACUAUCUAGUCUUCCAACAAAAGGAAAAUGUCUUCAAUAAAAAAUCUUUUAAAACA